This 777-nucleotide ribosomal RNA is filed under the name uncultured Neocallimastigales. Its description in RNAcentral is "partial large subunit ribosomal RNA". It matches the Rfam family "Eukaryotic large subunit ribosomal RNA", at positions 23 to 645 of the family's 3401-position model. The record is from RNAcentral. Lineage: Eukaryota; Fungi; Neocallimastigomycota; Neocallimastigomycetes; Neocallimastigales.
AUAGAGACUCAGAGCUGCAUAUCAAUAAGCGGAGGAAAAGAAACUAACAAGGAUUCCCUUAGUAACGGCGAGUGAAGCGGGAAGAGCUCAAAUUUGAAAUCUUCAAGGUUUUACCUUGACGAAUUGUAGUUUAAAGAAGUGUUUUCUGUUGAAGUUUUGGUAAAAGUUCUUUGGAAUAGGACAUCAUAGAGGGUGAGAAUCCCGUAUUUGGUCAUUCCUUCUAGCUUUGUGAUACACUUUCAAAGAGUCGGAUUGUUUGGGAAUGCAGUCCAAAAUGGGUGGUAAAUUUCAUCUAAAGCUAAAUAUUGGCGAGAGACCGAUAGCGAACAAGUACCGUGAGGGAAAGAUGAAAAGAACUUUGAAAAGAGAGUUAAACAGUACGUGAAAUUGUCAAAAGGGAAGCGUUUGACACCAGUGUUGUUUUCUCGAAAAUCAAUUAAAAAAGGCAGGAUUUUGUGUUGUAUUGACCUUAUCAGCUUUCUUCACUUUUUUCGAGUCUUUCUUAAUGCACUUUUCGGUUAACAAGUCAACAUCAAUUUCUUUUGUUGUAAAAGAGUCAUUCGGAAGGUGGCUUUCUUUUCGGAGAAAGUGUUUAUAGCCCUAUACUUCUACAAUCGGAGAGAUUGAGGUCUGCAGCGUAGAUCCUUCGGGGUUAGAUACAUUUGUGCUAAGUUUACAGCUUUUCAUAGACAACUUGUUGACUAUGUUUAGUCAUGCUGACUUACUCGCUUAUGCUAUUUUACCUACGCUUAGGAUGUUGAAGUCAUCGUAUCGCGC